This 517-nucleotide ribosomal RNA is filed under the name Salmonella enterica subsp. enterica serovar Brandenburg. Its description in RNAcentral is "partial 23S ribosomal RNA". It matches the Rfam family "Bacterial large subunit ribosomal RNA", at positions 1 to 559 of the family's 2925-position model. Lineage: Bacteria; Pseudomonadati; Pseudomonadota; Gammaproteobacteria; Enterobacterales; Enterobacteriaceae. The record is from RNAcentral.
UUAAGCGACUAAGCGUACACGGUGGAUGCCCUGGCAGUCAGAGGCGAUGAAGGACGUGCUAAUCUGCGAUAAGCGCCGGUAAGGUGAUAUGAACCGUUAUAACCGGCGAUUUCCGAAUGGGGAAACCCAGUGUGACUCGUCACACUAUCAUUAACUGAAUCCAUAGGUUAAUGAGGCGAACCGGGGGAACUGAAACAUCUAAGUACCCCGAGGAAAAGAAAUCAACCGAGAUUCCCCCAGUAGCGGCGAGCGAACGGGGAGGAGCCCAGAGCCUGAAUCAGCAUGUGUGUUAGUGGAAGCGUCUGGAAAGGCGCGCGAUACAGGGUGACAGCCCCGUACACAAAAGCGCAUGUGCUGUGAGCUCGAUGAGUAGGGCGGGACACGUGGUAUCCUGUCUGAAUAUGGGGGGACCAUCCUCCAAGGCUAAAUACUCCUGACUGACCGAUAGUGAACCAGUACCGUGAGGGAAAGGCGAAAAGAACCCCGGCGAGGGGAGUGAAAAAGAACCUGAAACCGU